This 506-nucleotide ribosomal RNA is filed under the name uncultured bacterium. RNAcentral describes it as "partial 16S ribosomal RNA". It matches the Rfam family "Bacterial small subunit ribosomal RNA", at positions 28 to 523 of the family's 1533-position model. The record is from RNAcentral.
GAUGAACGCUAGCUACAGGCUUAACACAUGCAAGUCGAGGGGUAACGAGAGGAAAGCUUGCUUUCCUUGUCGACGACCGGCGCACGGGUGAGUAACGCGUAUCCAACCUGCCCCCAACUAGGGAAUAACCUUGCGAAAGUAAGACUAAUACCCUAUAAUUUCCUCAGAUGACAUCUGACGAGGAAUAAAGAUUUAUCGGUUGUGGAUGGGGAUGCGUCUGAUUAGCUUGUUGGCGGGGUAACGCGCCACCAAGGCAACGAUCAGUAGGUGUUCUGAGAGGAAGCUCCCCCACAUUGGAACUGAGACACGCUCCAAAUACCUUCGGGAGGCAGCAGUGAGAAAUAUUGGUCAAUGGGCAGAAGCCUGAACCAGCAAAGUAGCGUGUAGGAUGACGGCCCUAUGGGUUGUAAACUGCUUUUAUACAGGAAUAAAGUUAGCCACGUGUGGUUAUUUGUAGGUACUGUAUGAAUAAGGACCGGCUAAUUCCGUGCCUGCCGCCGCGGUAA